RNAcentral lists this long non-coding RNA (859 nucleotides) under Bos taurus (domestic cattle). RNAcentral describes it as "long non-coding RNA NONBTAT024906". The record is from RNAcentral. Lineage: Eukaryota; Metazoa; Chordata; Mammalia; Artiodactyla; Bovidae.
CUGCUCUCUAAUGGAGGACAAGGUCAGAUUCCAUGUCAGUUUGUGUAUGCAGAGAGAAUGGAGUUAGUUGGGUAGUCCAGGCAGUUUUAUGAACGUGGACACCAGGUGGGCUGCGGCCCUGAGAAAGGCUUUAUAGAGUUGAACCAGGAAGUCUAGGAGACUCUGGUGAGACGGAAGGGGGAGGCACUGAGGUGAGGUGACCCCACUGGGUAAAAGGCCUGGGAUUGGUGUACAGAUUGCUAGUUUGUCCGCUUGCCACCCUUGACCAUUCUGCACAUGCUGCCUGAAGCCUGGCUCUAACCCUCAAAAAUCUGUGAUAGUUCCAGCCUCCUCCCUGGGUGAAGCUUCAUCUCCUAUACCUGGAAUUUUCUCUCCGACUCAACUUUCUUUUACAGCCAUCUCUCACUCCCUGUCUCCCUUGCACUGAGCCUUCCUUGUCCACUUUGCUCCUUUCUUUGACCAUUUUGCUUAUCUUCAAAGGCUGACCCUUCAACCAUCUGGUGGAUGCUAGUGGGGAUGUCUGUGGGGUAAGCCUCGUAGUGGUUAGCACCUCUCCCAGAUUACCCUGGACCUAGGCUUUAGCCUUGUGGGUCCUGAGUAGAGACUUUCCCAAGAUCCUCAGAAAUCAUCAGUGACACUGCCUUAAAGGGGUGCUGCCAGAGAGGGAGAAGCAGAACCAGGGGAUGUCCCAGAAGGGUGUCCCACCCAGAAGGUAAAGGAAAAGAGGGCAUCAGAAAGUGUCCUGUGCCAUGGGGAGGCCCAGGGAAGACUUAAAGUAGUUGACAGAUUCGGAAAAUGAGAGGCAAUGGGCAAGUUCUCCUGGGAUGAAUUCAGUGGAGAAGGAAGGAGGGAGCCUAGU